UACGAAGGGUGCAAACGUUGCUCGGAAUUAUUGGGCGUAAAGCGCACGUAGGCGGCUUGUCAAGUCGGAUGUGAAAUCCCUCGGCUCAACCGGAAAAGGGCCUCGGAGACUGCUCGUCUGGAGGGAGGUAGGGGCAGGUGGAACUGCUGGUGGAGCGGUGAAAUGCGUUGAUAUCAGCAGGAACGCCGGUGGCGAAAGCGACCUGCUGGACCUCUUCUGACGCUGAGGUGCGAAAGCUAGGGGAGCAAACGGG
This 253-nucleotide ribosomal RNA is filed under the name uncultured bacterium. Its description in RNAcentral is "partial 16S ribosomal RNA". It matches the Rfam family "Bacterial small subunit ribosomal RNA", at positions 524 to 776 of the family's 1533-position model. The record is from RNAcentral.